This 369-nucleotide ribosomal RNA is filed under the name Triticum aestivum (bread wheat). Its description in RNAcentral is "partial small subunit ribosomal RNA". Lineage: Eukaryota; Viridiplantae; Streptophyta; Magnoliopsida; Poales; Poaceae. The record is from RNAcentral.
AUGCACGAUGCUUCGUCAAGCUGGUCGGACCGCGGCAAUCGACGGAGUGUAAGCCGGAGGAGGCGACGAGAUGUUGCUACUGCCGCUGUGUCCUCGGAGGCAGCAGCUGCCCCUCGCCGACCUCACCAACCUCUGGUGUCCACCGUGAGCUCCGCGCAGGACCCCUUCUACAUCAUCCAGGAGGAGAUCCAGGGAUGGGUAAUCCCCCCAUCCCCGUCCGCCCUCCCUCCCUCCCCUGUACCCCUUUCUCUUCCUCUAGUUGUGAAUUUUGGUAUGCUGCCAUUGUUUAUUUGGCUACGCCGUGGCAUACUGUCAGCUGAAAACUGCUUCUUUAUUUUCUACUCCAGUACCGUAAGGAGUAGUAUAUAA